Long non-coding RNA from Callithrix jacchus (white-tufted-ear marmoset), 1341 nucleotides. RefSeq lists it as uncharacterized. NCBI's taxonomy places the organism in Eukaryota, Metazoa, Chordata, Mammalia, Primates, Cebidae. The record is from RefSeq and is a predicted model, not a curated record.
UUCACAAGCUGGGUUAUAGAAGUGAAAUGGUUUCUGCCUUCUCUUUCGGGGACCCACCUGAAGCUGCCAUGCUGGGAAGACCAUGUGGUGAGAUCAGAGAGAAAUGGAGAAAGAAGCUUAAGGAGUGCUUGUUGUUUUGUUCCCCAGCUGUUGGAGUCUUCCCAACUGAAAUGCCAGAUGUAUGGAUUAACAAGCCAACAGGAAACAGAGCUCCCAGACUGACUCCAUCAGCUGGGGAUGAGUAGAGAACAGAGGCAGAAGCUGAGGCUUAGUCAGAUCAAGCAACAUGCCCAAGAUCACACUGCUAGAACGUGGCAGGACCAUCAUGGGAAUCCAGGUUUCGUGGAGAGAAGCAGACAUUUUCCUCCUCCCCAGAGGUGUCCGGCGAACACUUUUGGUAUCGAGUUAGAGUAAUUGUGAGGACACGAUUCUGCAGAAUUGCACUUGUUCCCCGUUCCUGGCCUCCACCACAUCAAUACUGCAAAGAAUUUGGUUCCAUGGCUUUGUCAAUUUUUUUCAGCCAGAAAAAUGUUCCACCAUGUGUCUUUUUUUCUUUUUCUGAAGCGACUGCAGAGUUAUAAUUUACUGGCAUGUAGAGAAAAGUGGAUUUUUUUUCAUUGCUAUUCCAUUUUCCCCCUCCUUUGGGAUUCUUGGGAAAACCUGAUUAAAAUGUCAGCCAGAAGAAUGGCUGGUGAUUCUUUAAAAGAACUGAUUAAACCAGGAUGACCCAAAGCACUAACAGGAGAAGAAAACCCUAUGGGGAUCUGAGUAUGUAACUUUCUAGUUAUUGGAGUAUAGAAAAAAAAAAGUAGGAAAGAAAGAAGUAAAAGAAGUAAGAAGCUUUGCUAGAGAAGAAGGGCGAUAUUAAAAUUAUUAAGAUUAACAAUGGUAAUAAUAAACUCCACUUGAUUAAUUUCUGUUUCAGGCUCUGUACGAAGACCUUAUAUCCAAAAUUCAGACUCUUCAAGAAGAAAGAGAGGAACCAGGUGCAGAAGUGGAACAUGAAAGUCGACGUGGAACGUGACCGCUGAAGCACAGCAUCAUGUAGAGACAAUUAAGACCCUGGAUGUCCGAGGGCGUCCCUGACAGAUCACAAGAGCUUGGAAGAGCAGAGUUUUCUCCUGACUCCACUGAGGAAGGAGACAUCUUGGCCACCUUGGACGUCUCCUUCCCUAGCUGGCUAAACAGCGGGCACUUUCACAGCUGAGGCGCACUCCGGCAGCCCUUAUGUGGGCGUGACAGAGGACUUAGAGCAUCUUGCCUUAGGGUUACCUCUUUUCCAAUGCCACUUCAGUUCCAUACUUCAUGACCUCAGACUUAUUAGUAAAAUUAAAGAUUAUA